This is a long non-coding RNA of Ahaetulla prasina, 4135 nucleotides long. RefSeq lists it as uncharacterized. The transcript is spliced from 3 exons. The record is from RefSeq and is a predicted model, not a curated record. NCBI's taxonomy places the organism in Eukaryota, Metazoa, Chordata, Lepidosauria, Squamata, Colubridae.
UCUGAGAUUUUGUGUGUUUGUGUAGUUAAACACUACAGAAACACCCCAAAUCUCAGAAAGCUGCACAAAUAUUUUAUUUUAUUAUUUUAUUUUAUUGUGGACUUCAAAUCCCAGAGUUCCUCAGCCAGCAAAGCAGGAAGUCAAAGCAAGCUUUUUUUUUUCUUCAGUAGCUGAAGAAAACAUGGCGUUGCCAGCCCAAAAGAGCAGUAAUUAUAGCAAGCACAGAAAGAACCGAGCAGCCUUUUGGAAACGGUGAUAUAUCCCUCAAUUUGGAUUGCUCCAGGGCACCGUAGUUCAAAGGCAGAGAGCAAGUGAAACUUGGCAGGCUGAUCCGGAGCAACCUUGAAAAACGGCUCCUGUACAUUAACUCAGCCUUAUCCAAAAAAAAAAAAAAGGGGGGGGGGUGUAAAAAGAGAGCAGCUGGCAUUUAAAGCGUGCGGUUCCCACACCGGAGUUCAAAAAGCAAGAGUUUACUCACAGGGGUCCUCCCGGGGAGGCAGCGAUUUAGGAGAGGAAAUUCCAGCGCCACCUCAGGCGCUGUGCCGGAGAAAGAGACCUCGGGGGGGUCAGGAACAGGCAAGGCCCCUGGAAUUACGAGAAGCCCCGGGACUCGUGCUUGUGCAUGCUGAACGGUAAGGGAUGAAAAGGCAGCUCACUUCCAUCAGCCACUUGGCUUUAUCCUCUCCGCGGCAAGUCUACCACCUGGCUGGGAUAAGCAGAGAAACGCUCCAACCGACAGCCCAAACAAAAAAAGAAAGAAAAGAAAAGAAGAGAAAAGGAGGGAAGCUCUCGUUCGUUCGUUCGUUCUCUCUCUCUCUCCCCUAAGCUCGGCUGCUGGGGCUAACGCUCCUUUUUCAGGCAGGCGUGUGUGUGUUAGGCUGGGCGGGGCUCUGGCAGCCCCGGGAGAUGGAAUCGCACAGGCUUACUUUGUUUGAAUGCUUUCGGAGGAAGGAACAGGUGAUUCGCUUUUGAUGUAAUCCGGUGAUUCUCAAGCCGGCGCUCCACGUUGUACCCGGAAUCAUGCCUGCGUUCCCCCCCCCCCCACGCCCCCAAGGAUAAAGCCGCCUUCCUUGGGCCAGAGUAUUACCCGCGCAGGGGAGCAGCGCACGUUUUCCGAAAAGAGCCACCUCGAGCAAGACUUUCUACUUCUCUGGAGGGAAAAUCGUCCAGCAGUUAAGAAAAGAAAGGGGUACACAGGGGCAGUAGCCAUACAGUACAUUGCAAUCAAGAGGAGAUUAAAGCCUGGAUGAUUGUGAACAGUCUCAUGUUCUAGGAACGGUUAUAACUGGCAUGUUGGAUACAACUGGGUGAGGUUCUCCUGGCUACAGCUACCACCGGAACUAAAACUGGAGUUGGGUGACUUACCAAUCCAAAGUCACUCCAUCAUUUCCUCUUUAUCUUUUUGCCAUGGUGCAGCCAUGAAUAUGGGCUGGAAUAUCUGGAUUGCAUGCCCCAAAUUCAGAUAUUCAGUCUGAAUGUCUUCAAAAGAACUCAAUAAUAUACAUGGUUCCUUUUUUUUUUUUAGCCUGCAGAAACACUGGAGUGAGGAUUGAGUCCUCUUUUGUUUCUGAGUCUGAUCAGGUACUUAGGCAUCCUUGGUUUGGAUUCCACAAUGUGGUCAUGAUAUUGCAUACAUCCUGAGCUGAAGAAGCUUCUUGGACGAGAAGCGAAAGGUCUUCAAAGAAAAACCAGAAAGUCCAGUUGCCUCUUGAAAAAAGCACCAUGGAGACAACGAUGACCUGGAUGACUUAAGAAUCUCCAUAGACAUUCGAUAUUGCAUACACUGUCAAGGUACAUGCAGUUCACAGUCCAUCUGUAAUGAGUACUUCCUCUAACCUGCAUCUUAGGUUGAGCCUGAUCCUAGCACUGCUGAAAACUGGACAGUGAGCUGAACUGAUUGUAGUUUAAACUAUUUGAUCCCUGACAUUGUGGUUUGUAAGGCAUGAUUUAGCUUUGCAAACCUAUAUAGUUGUAUUUUAUUUAAUAAAUCAUUGUUAACUAUAGAGUAAUAUAAAAGGUAAAGCUAACCACAAGCUGUUAUAGUUCUUAUAUUGUACAGUGCCACAUGUGAUCAUCCUUGUAAAUUUGGAUUUUUUUAUUAUUGUAAUUGAGAAGGCUAUCUUUUCUCCAAUAUGCGGUCUUUAUUAUUUUUCCUUUAGCUUUUAAUUUAUUUUUUAUCAUUUUGCUGUUUUUAAACUCUGGCAUGUACAGUAAAUCAUUUGGAGAUACUCUAGUGACAGGCAGCAUCCAAGUUAAUAGAUUGUAAAUAAAAAAAGUGGAGGGGGGGGAGAAAGAAAGUAGGGAGAUAGCUAGAAGGCUUUUUCACUGCAUUGUCUUAACCAAAUCCAAGAAUUUUGUGCUUAGCUAACUGGAAAUCAAGUCUGAUAAGGUCUUGUAAAACCUGUAUGUUUAUAAUCAAAAAUAGGAAUACUUCUAUUCAGAUUCUAACACAGCCACAGUCUGUCCUUCAUCACAGGCAUCAUCUGAAACAAUUGUGUUUAUAAAUGGAUUAGCAAUAUUUCCUUUUUUGAAAAGAGACACAGAACAUUUUAACAGAAUGUUUAAUCUCACGAUACAUCUAGUCAACAUAUUCAGCGUCAUUUAUUACUGGGAAAUGGGGGGGAAAAAACCCAAGAGCUUCUCACCAUAUGUGUGCACGUUAACACAUUUUUAAAAACUCUAAAUCAAAGGUAGGGAGUUUGGGGGUUCUGAUUUCUACAGAAGAGACCCCACUUUUAAACCUUUCAGUCAAACCAUAGUUUAAUGAUAUAGAACAGGGGUCUCUAACCUUGGCAACUUUUAAGACUUGUGGACUUCAACUCCCAGAAUUGAAGUGGCUUUGCUGGCUGAGGAAUUCUGGGGGUUGAAGUCCACAAGUCUUAAAGUUGCCAAGGUUGGAGACCCCCUGAUAUAGAAGACUCCAUAUGCGGAAGCUUCCCAUCCAUAUGUUGCCUUUGGUCUGUCUACAGAUUGAGCAGGCGCAGCUUGGCCGAAGUUGUCCCUCCAGAGUUGUGCUCCUUCUGUUUCUCUUUUAAUUCUAUUCAUUGCUUUUUUAUUGCAAACUAUAUUGUAAUGUAUAUCUAAGCAUAAAUGCUAACAUAUCUAUUCUUUUCUCUUUCUUUCAUUUGCAUUUAUAAGUGUUUUAGGUAAUUGGGAAAUGAGCACCUUAAGCCUGUAGGCUUUUCUGGAGGAACUCUAAAUGGUAAUAUAAAUUAUUGCAAUAUGUGAAGCGCGUUUAUCUGCAUUGGGACUCCUCUGCUUAUAUUGCUGAGUAGGGCUUCUAUCACGAGAAGUGACACCACUGUGGCCCCUCUAAUGAUUCUCGACCAGAGUCUUCAUUGUGUCAGGUGCUCCCGAGUAGUCAUUCGAGGUUGUAUAAUUUUCCCAGAAUACUUCUUCUCAUUUGGGAGACAAAAAUGCUUGGCAAAGAGGGCCUUAUUGGGCCUCUGAGUAUCUAACACUUGUGGGAAGAUGUGUGGUGUCUGCAGAGAAGUAAAAAUGUGAACAAGGUAGCACACCAAAUGAUUGAAACUCCAUCCUUAUUUUGGAUGUGAAAAAAAAGAGAGAGCAGGUUUUGGGUCAUAAAUGUACACUUCUUGACAUUUUUUACACACACACAUACCAAGGGUCCUAAAAGAAUACAAAAAGCUGAUACUGGUCAUCAUCAUCAUCAUUUUAGCCAUUGUCUAUUCACUGCAGGUUGAAGGCCUCUUCUGCAUGUUUCUAACCAAUACGGUCCUGAGCUUUCUUUUGCCAAUUGGGCCAACAAUACUUGCUGAUAUCAUUGACCCAUCUUGCUUUGGGUAUCUUCAGUGGAUGCUUUUUAUCAAAUGGGAUCCAUUUGAUAGAAAGCAUCCACAAAAGAGACCUAAAACAAGAUGGAUCCAUUUUAUGGCUGCCUUGAUCCACCUGCCAUCAGUUCUUCUUGCUAUAGUCUGGCCUUGUUCUGAACAUAAUUUCUAUGUGAUGUUGUCUUUCUAAAACUCAGGCUCUUUUUCAAUGACUGCAUGUGUGAAAGUGUUAGAAAAAGUAGAAAGGCACUACAACUAGUACAAAAUCUUACCCAAAGAGACAUGGAAUCUAUUUCAGGUCAAUCAUUUGCUUUCAAAUGCAUGCUGAGAAAUAAUAUGCCAGC